Molecule: long non-coding RNA, 4478 nt
Organism: Cyprinodon tularosa
Lineage: Eukaryota; Metazoa; Chordata; Actinopteri; Cyprinodontiformes; Cyprinodontidae
Exons: 2
Source: RefSeq, a predicted model, not a curated record
ACUUUUUUCUCAGAAUUUUGACUUUUUUCCGAUACUAAACUGAAACAAAAUUUAAAAAUCAGUUAACUUUUUUUUUUUUUCCCCCACUGGCCCUAAUCCUCUUCCGUACUUCUAGGCUUAAUGUGAAGAAAAAGUGAUUAGCAAAAUGUAAUUGGAAUAAAAUGCAAUCUGUAACACUGAAAAUAGGAAAAUGGAAAUAAAUAACUUGGAAAACAAAAAGUGAAUAAAAAACUUUUUGUAAGAAAUUUAAUUUGGGGAAAAAAAAACCCGAAAAAAUCUGAUAAAACUCAGAACUUUCUCUUAAAAACCUUCUCUAAUAAGGAGUUUUCAAAUUAUUAUUUCUGGAUUGUUUUUUUUGUUUGUUUUUUCAAAUUUCCAUUUACAAAACAUGUUUACUAGAACAAUAAUAAAUAACAUUAGUAAAAUAAUAAUAAAAUAAAACAAUAGUAAAAUUCACUCCAUACUUUAAUCCAUCUAAGCGUGCAAAUUUUAUUUAUUUUUAAGCUUGAGUUCCCCCUCUUUGGAGUAAUCCAAAAAAACCUGUUUUUGUUUUAUCUUUCAGCUAAAGGACUAGAUUUGUUAACAUUCUGAUGCCUCAUCAAGAACUUUAAGGCCAUUUUUCCCCCUUUUUUAUAAAUGAUGUCAUUUUGAAAAGCAUUGAGCACAACGUACAGUGUGUUAAAGCAUCUGCAUGGUUAGAUAAAUCGCUUAAAUUACACGAAGGUGGGAUACCGUCUACUAUUACGCUGGCUGAUGUUUUUAUCCAUUUCUUGACGUUAGAUCAUCAAAGAUGGAGAAAAAAAAAUACUGUUUGUACAAUCGGCUGAGGUAAUAUUUCUGACCAAGCAACAAAAAAAGAAACAAAAUCUUUCAUUUGGGUCAGACUGGCGGUCUAAGGGUUAAUAUCUAUGGAGACCCAUAAAGGAAUAAUUUUACAGCAAGCACCAAGUGACGUCCUCGUGGCCUUUUUGGAAAAAAACCUAAAAAGAAAAACUGAAAGUGUUUCUACGUAAUGUGGCUAAUUAUCAGUAUGACUCCCUGUAGGCGUAUUUCAGAGUUUUUGACUUGUCGAUUAAAGCCUGUGUGUGUGUGUGUGUGUGUGUGUGUAUUCUGUGAUAUGCCAGGGUCUAUUCAAAAUAGUGAUAGUAGAAGUGAGUACUGUUUAGUAAAUACGCAAUGGAUUGCCUACCUAUUGUCGCCAGCUCAUGUAUGCACCUGUGGAGUUUCGUGCACCCAGACUGAGUAGAGUUAAUAGAAACUGUUGUUAAAUCCAGAAAAAUAUGCUAUUUUGUACUUUAGAUUACUACAGAGAAUAUUUAUGCUUGUGGUUGGUGAUUACAGAACCAGCACUGAAACAUUUAUGUUUGCUUCAAUGAAUUUGGAGGGAUGGAGUUUUUUUUUUUUUUCAUCAUCAUCAUUUUUAUUAUUUUUACAGGGGUGGAUGGGAUUUAAUGAAGUGAGCUUUCCGAAGUUAUCUGAAAUGCUUCCUUUGCCAGUUGCAGGAAGAUGUGGUGUUGAUUGUUUGAUUUAAAACAGAGCCACUAAAGAAAUUAAAUACUGAUUAUUUGAGUGAGAAAAGGGCGUCCAUGUUGUCUUGGUUGUUGGUUUGGUUGCUAAGACCUAGCACCAAUGUAGAAUAAAAUAAGCCUUUACUUUUAAUUUGUUCUAUUAAGUUGUUAGAAAGCGGAAGAUUUAAGAAUAGAAUAAACUAAAAUUGGCUGAUUAAUUAAAUGCUGCUAGCAUACUGUUCUAUCUUUAAAAGGGCCUGGUUUGUAGCUAGCAUAAUAUUCGUCUAGCUAGCAAAAUGUUAUAUUUUCAAAGGACUGAGCUUGUGGUUACUGUAAUGUUCUGCCUUGAAAGGAUUGAGGUUGUAACUAGCAUAAUAUUCUGCCUUGAAAGGAUUGAGGUUGUAGCUAGCGUAAUGUUCCUCCUUGAAAGGACUGAGGUUGUAACUAGCGUGAUGUUCUGCCUUGAAAGGAUUGAGGUUGUAGCUAGCGUAAUGUUCCUCCUUGAAAGGACUGAGGUUGUAACUAGCCUAAUGUUCUGCCUUAAAAGUAUUGAGGUUGUAACUGGCGUAAUAUUCUGCCUUAAAAGGGCUGAGGUUGUAACUAGUGUAAUGUUCUGCCUUGAAAGGAUUGAGGUUGUAUCUAGCGUAAUGUUCUGCCUUUAAAGGACCGAGGUUGUAGCUAGCGUAAUGUUAUGCCUUGAAAGGACUGAGGUUCGAGCUAGCGUAAUGUUCUGCCUUGAAAGGACUGAGGUUGUAACUAACGUAAAGUUCUGCCUUGAAAGGAUUGAGGUUGUAACUAGCGUAAUGUUCUACCUAGAAAGGAUUGAGGUUGUAACUAGCCUAAUGUUCUGCCUUGAUAGGAUUGAGGUUGUAACUAGCGUAAUGUUCUUCCUUGAUAGGAUGGUGUUGUAACUAGCGUAAUGUUCUUCCUUGAAAGGAUUGAGGUUGUAACUAGCAUAAUGUUCUUCCUUGAAAGGGUUGAGGUUGUAACUAACGUAAUGUUCUGCCUUGAAAGGGUUGAGGUUGUAACUAGCGUAAUGUUCUUCCUUGAAAGGAUUGAGGUUGUAACUAGCGUAAUGUUCUUCCUUGAAAGGAUUGAGGUUGUAACUAGCGUAAUGUUCUUCCUUGAAAGGAUUGAGGUUGUAACUAACGUAAUGUUCUGCCUUGAAAGGAUUGAGGUUGUAACUAGCGUAAUGUUCUGCCUUGAAAGGGUUGAGGUUGUAACUAGCGUAAUGUUCAGCCUUGAAAGGAUUGAGGUUGUAACUAACGUAAUGUUCUGCCUUGAAAGGAUUGAGGUUGUAACUAACGUAAUGUUCUGCCUUGAAAGGAUUGAGGUUGUAACUAACGUAAUGUUCUGCCUUGAAAGGAUUGAGGUUGUAACUAGCGUAAUGUUCUGCCUUGAAAGGGUUGAGGUUUUAACUAGCGUAAUGUUCUGCCUUGAAAGGACUGAGGUUGUAACUAGCGUAAUGUUCAGCCCUGAAAGGACUGAGGUUGUAACUAGCGUAAUGUCCUGCCCCGAAAGGUCUGAGGUUUUAACUAGCGUAAUGUUCAGCCCUGAAAGGACUGAGGUUGUAGCUAGCGUAAUGUUCUUCCCUGAAAAGACUGAGGUUGUAGCUAGCGUAAUGUUCUACCUUGAAAGACUGAUGGGGUGCUUAUUAAACCUCCACAUCACAACAUGGUGGUUCCAGUAGCUGAAACCUAGCCAAACGGCAAAAUAUAUUCAUUUUUGUUUUUUCUAUUGGAAACAAAGUGUAUUACGGCCUUUCUCGAAUGUCUGUAUGCAGUAAUACGGACUGCCAACCCAUCCUUUAGCAGCAGCUAAUUUGGUGUUACUUGCAAAAUACAGCUGAUAAUAAAUGUCUGCUAUUCCUAAACAGACCAUUUUUAAGUCUGUUGUUUUCCUAUCCAAUUAUUAGAUAGAUUACUACACAAGGUUAAGUAGGCGGAGCCUAUUGGCUCUGAGUUGUCCGUCCACGCCAAGGCAGACAAGAGAGGAUUCUAGGGUCAGAUAUUGUACCAGGCAACAGUAUUGAACCCGCAAAAGAACAGGGAUGUUCUUUUGCGGCUCUCUUAGCUGUUUGUAGAUGAUCCCAGUGGAUUGAUGAUCAGCUGAUCUGGCAGGCUGAUGUAGCCACACUCAGGCAAUGCAACCUUUCAUGCUAACCAAGACGUUUGACGUUUGAAAUCAGCAAAUAUACAUGUCUGGAGAUUCUGAUAGAAAAAGCAACUCUGAGGAAGAACUUCAUAGAACCUCACUUCUUAAAAUCCUAACUAUCCCUUUAAUGUCCUGGUUCUUGGUUUGGUUUUCAUCACAUACGUUGCUCUGUUACCACAUGUCUGUUUGUUUCAUAUAAAGAAAAAAUAGCUAACAGGGUCAAGUGAAUAUAUCUGAAUGUUUAAAAAAAAAUCACCAAAAGUAAAUAUAUAUAUGCUAUAUAGACAUUCUAUGGAUAGAAUAUAUAGAUAUAUAUUGAGAAGAAAAUAUCUAUAUUUACAGAGUCACUAGUGAAUCAGCUGCUUUGUUCUGUCCAGGUGGAGGUAGUGCAGGUGCAGAUAACUGCAACAAAAGCCAUGUAGAGCGGUGUUUAUGUGUCUGACAGAAGAGGUAGGCGUGUUGGCGAAGGCCAAAGCACCGGGGGGGGGUGGGGGUCAGCUACGGGAAGCUACACUGUGGGAUCAUCGGUGAAUCGUCCUCGUCUCUCAAGCCGCUGCCUUCGGGCAGAAGGUGAGAGUUCAGGGUCAGGUCUUAGUUCCUCCUUUAUUUGAGGAACUCGCGCCGCCGUCGGCACACACUUGGAAAUUGAAAAAUCUUGUCAUGGAUGAUCCGUGUUUGACUCACUUUAACAAGCUGAGGGUUAAAAAGGGUUAGAAAAAUGAAGUCAAAGAAAGAAAGCAAAAAAAAACCUGGUGCUUGUGACUGUUUGUGUACAUGAAGAACCUGAUGUGAGAAUAAAGUUGUUUGUUGAUGACA